Triticum aestivum (bread wheat) is the source of this 175-nucleotide non-coding RNA. The record is from Rfam. NCBI's taxonomy places the organism in Eukaryota, Viridiplantae, Streptophyta, Magnoliopsida, Poales, Poaceae.
AUAGUACUCCCUCCGUCCGAAAAUACUUGUCAUCAAAAUAAACAAAAUGAUAUGUAUCUAGACGUAUUUUAGUUCUAGAUACAUCCUUGGACGGAGAUAAAUCCGGAAAUACGUUUAGAUACAUCUCAUUUUGUUUAUUUUGAUGAUAAGUAUUUCCGGACGGAGGGAGUACAUG